This is a non-coding RNA of Acanthosepion pharaonis, 112 nucleotides long. NCBI's taxonomy places the organism in Eukaryota, Metazoa, Mollusca, Cephalopoda, Sepiida, Sepiidae. The record is from the annotation of a GenBank genome assembly.
UAUGGUCGUAUCACGUUGAAACACCAGUUCUCGUCCCAUCACCGAAGUUAAGCAACGUCGAUCCCGGUCAGUAUCUAGAUAGGUGGCCGCUUGGGAAUCCCAAGUGCUGUAA